Molecule: transfer RNA, 98 nt
Filed under: Trichosporon asahii var. asahii CBS 8904
Lineage: Eukaryota; Fungi; Basidiomycota; Tremellomycetes; Trichosporonales; Trichosporonaceae
Rfam family: tRNA
About the family: Transfer RNA (tRNA) molecules are approximately 80 nucleotides in length. Their secondary structure includes four short double-helical elements and three loops (D, anti-codon, and T loops).
Source: Rfam by way of RNAcentral
GGUCGCGUGGCCCAAUGGCAAGGCGUCUGACUACGAUUCUUGAGCUUUCGAAGCAUCGGUAUAUCAGGAGAUUGCGGGUUCGAUCCCCGUCGUGACCU